This 2889-nucleotide long non-coding RNA is filed under the name Sus scrofa (pig). RNAcentral's name for it is "lncRNA (ENSSSCG00025073021.1)". The record is from RNAcentral. Lineage: Eukaryota; Metazoa; Chordata; Mammalia; Artiodactyla; Suidae.
UUUUAGGGCCGCACCCAUGGCUAGGGGUCGAAUUGGAUGGAAUACCCAUUUUCUGCUGGAGCCAGCCUAGUUCCUCUCCAUGUAUGGAUCCUGAACUCAGACUGUUGCUGAGGCUCAUCUGGAGGGCUCAGGAAGACUCAGAUUCCUGGGGCCCACCCCCAGGGUUCCUGACUCAGUAGGGCUGGGGUGGGGCGGGAGAACACGCACUUCUCACACACCCCCAGGGAGAACUGAUGCUGCUGGUCCUGGAGCUGCAUGGGUGCCUCCUGAAGUCCCCACAAGCCUGCUGGAAGGAAGUCAAGGCAGGGGGGGAACACGAUUCCUGUUGGCAGCGGGCGUCUGGUGCACAGCCUCUCUGAAGAGCGUGUCAGCACCAGCAGUGCUGCAUGCGGGUGGGGCAUCAUUCUCAGAAGCCUGUGGACACAGCCCAGGAGCCCUGUGGGGAGGCAGACCGCCGGCCCAGCCUCUCCUCCCUUCUCCUUCCACUGCUCCUGCUCCUCGAGCUCCCCACCCCCGCAGCAUCACUCAACUUGGCAGCUUCUCAUCCUGCAGAGGACAGCGGGGCCCAGAGAAAAAGUGGGGUCUGGGGUCUGGGUGGGUUGCUGAGGCAACAUGUCUUUUAAAGGUUAACUGAUCUAGAGAGGUGGACACCAGGCCAGCCCGUGGAAUGUCAGCCCAGCAUGUCACGCCCCUAGUCCUGUUCCCCAUUAGGUUUUGGACACCAUGCUUUGUGGCCCAUGUCCCUCCUGGCCAGGAGUGAGGUCAUCACUGGAUCUGCGGCUCCCACUGAGGACCCGCUGGGCCCUCACCAAUGAUGGGAGACCUUCUGACCUCAACCCAUCCGCCAGGCCUCAUCUGUGUCCUUUACGCACGCUUGUCGCUAGGGAAAAAAUGGCAUCUCUGCCUCUGGGCGCAGCAGCCCAUCUCAAGUUGCAAAGUGACCCUUGAGGUGUUUUCAUUCUCCAGGAACUAUUUUUCCUGGCAUAUGUGUCAUACACAAAGAAAAAAGAAUCCUUUGCUUUUUCAAACCAUCCAAUACAAAAUAAGCGAUUGUUAAGGCUCCAAACAGUCUGCUGUAAUUCCCUAGUGUGCUCUAAACACAAUAAUCCCCUUGAGGGUGUGUGUUCUUUGGCCAUCACUUCUCCCCUGGGAUUGGUUGGACUACACUUUGUGCCUGCUGUGGUCUCUCUGAUGCCAUGGGGCACCCUGAACGGGCAUCCCCACCAGACACACACCCUGAAUGGCCAUCCCCGCCAGACACACAGGCUGGGUUCCCAGGCUCUACUUUCAGCAUCAGGUGCUGCUCAUACAGCUGACAAUGUUCUCAAGUAGACACUGUUUUCUUCCUUGAUGCUGCAAACAAAGCCAGGAGCCAAUUCUGGAGGAAGAACUCAAGAUGAGCAAACCUUCAUUAAAACUGAGAUGUCUGGCAUAAGGCUGUCCAAGGUGACCGGGUCUGGGGCAGAUGCUAUGGCCCAGGGGAAUGGUCUGGUUCGUAACACAACUGUGCUUCAACUGUUGUUGUGUGAAAACCCCACAGCUCUGGCCAAAGGAAAGGAAGAAAGGAAGAGGGCACCUGGAAAGGAUCUAGGACCCUUUGGAAGGCCACUGCUGUGCCACUGACCCACUGCCACAGGUUGAAGAAGACACAGCAGGGGACCCAGAGAUGAGAGCUCGAAUCUUCUAUCUACUUUGGGAUGCGCACAUGCUGGGGUCUGCAGGGGACUGAACUUCACCAAACAUGAGUGCCCUCAACUGUGCCCCCCAGCUUUCUCACCAUUGUUGUGUCCCAGGUGGGAAGCACAGGGAGUGGGAGCACAGGGAAGGUCCCAGUGGGGAUGCAGUGAAGAGUGGCAGGAUAGGAUAACAUGGGAGCCGUCCACACACCUGGGACACACCUGGGAUGGGAAGACAUAGGCUUGGUGCCAACAACAGUAAGACUUCAAAUUCUUGGUAAUUGUCCCAGACCAAACUACCUGGGUGACAUGUGCGAGACACUACUGUUUAUAAAGAUUUUGUAGACAUCAACACUAGUCUGCUGAGAAAGUUCAGCCUGACUUUUUACCAUUCCACCACGGUGUUAAUAACUUUCCACCACAGAUGUUAAUAACUUUCAACAAAAUUCUUUUCGACCUUCAAAAGUCUGAGGCCACAUCAUUUCUGUCCUGAGACCACAGGAGAUUCCAGUUCGGUUGCUCUUCAUGCCUUCCUUCUGUUUUCUUAAUCAUCUCACCAGAUUUGGGGGAAGGCUGGUUGAAGGAGAAACAGCAGUGGACAGAGAGACGUGGGUUUGAGUCCUCCAUCUCCUUUGGCUUCUCCUUUGGGAUGGUGGAGGGUCCACAGGUAACUGACCAUCUCUAAACGCUAGUCAUCUUCUCUGGGAAACACAUAAGGCAGUGUUCAUUCUGCUGCACAGAAAUGUCACGGGAGUUUCGUAAACAGAACCAAGGCUGCAACUCCACCCAGUGUAGAGCCUACUAUGUGUCAGCCUCUUUAAGAUGCUUUGCCUGCAUUAUUUGAUUCUUACAAGAAACCCAUAUUUUAAGUGUCAUUAUUCACACUUGUCAUAUAAAAGCAUCACAAUCAAAGAGAUCAAGAAAUGUCUCCACGGUCACACACCCAGCAAGCGGGUAAUCUAGAUAGACUCCAAACUCAGGUGACUCUAGCCCCCAAAGCCCUUUUCCUAAAGCCUUGAAAUAAGACAUGGGAAAAUGCCCUGAAAAUGCUGAAGCCAAGUCAAAGGCAAGAAAUGCUACUUAAAAUGCUACAAACCAGAAAUGCUAAUGAAAAUGGCAUCUCACGUGUCCUGCUCUGUCAGGGAAUGAGCGAUUUCACUUAAGUGGGACGUUUCAGGUAUCUAAAGGUUACCCCUAAUUAAGAAUCGACUUG